CCUACGGGAGGCAGCAGUGGGGAAUUUUGGACAAUGGGCGAAAGCCUGAUCCAGCAAUGCCGCGUGAGUGAAGAAGGCCUUCGGGUUGUAAAGCUCUUUUGUCAGGGAAGAAACGGUGAGAGCUAAUAUCUUUUGCUAAUGACGGUACCUGAAGAAUAAGCACCGGCUAACUACGUGCCAGCAGCCGCGGUAAUACGUAGGGUGCAAGCGUUAAUCGGAAUUACUGGGCGUAAAGCGUGCGCAGGCGGUUUUGUAAGUCUGAUGUGAAAUCCCCGGGCUCAACCUGGGAAUUGCAUUGGAGACUGCAAGGCUAGAAUCUGGCAGAGGGGGGUAGAAUUCCACGUGUAGCAGUGAAAUGCGUAGAUAUGUGGAGGAACACCGAUGGCGAAGGCAGCCCCCUGGGUCAAGAUUGACGCUCAUGCACGAAAGCGUGGGGAGCAAACAGGAUUAGAUACCCUGGUAGUCCACGCCCUAAACGAUGUCUACUAGUUGUCGGGUCUUAAUUGACUUGGUAACGCAGCUAACGCGUGAAGUAGACCGCCGUGGGGAGUACGGUUCGCGAAAGAUUAAAACGUCAAAAGUUGAAUUGACGG
Molecule: ribosomal RNA, 593 nt
Filed under: uncultured bacterium
Lineage: Bacteria
Description: bacterial SSU rRNA
Rfam family: Bacterial small subunit ribosomal RNA
Source: RNAcentral